GUUCAUGUGGAAUCAUUUUGUAAGGACACAAUGAACACACGACUGUGAUUUUGGACGUAGCAUUUCAUAUGGAGAUGAGAUCCAGGACUGUAGCUGUGCUGUCAGACUGCAGCUCUCACACUGAACAGAGCUGCACCGCUCUCACAGUCCUGCUAUUGAAGUCCUCACACACACACACACACACUCCUCAAUACACUUCUUCAUCUCCUCAUAUCCGCUGUGUACAAAUCGCCUUUGAAAACAAGCACAAUGCCAGACGUCAUGCUAAUAUUUAUUUCCCGUUGCUGUUUAUACUGCGCUCCGCUCUUCUGGGAAGGCUUUCCGUUCGAUUUUGGAUCGCGGCUGUGGGGAUUUGUGUUCAUCGGUGGGCGAGGAGGCCUGGCACUGGGGCGUUCCAGUUCAUCCCAAACUUGGGG
Ictalurus punctatus (channel catfish) is the source of this 416-nucleotide long non-coding RNA. The record is from Ensembl. NCBI's taxonomy places the organism in Eukaryota, Metazoa, Chordata, Actinopteri, Siluriformes, Ictaluridae.